CGAGCAGUCAUGCUUCCGUUCGUGGAAGGC
This 30-nucleotide small RNA is filed under the name Bombyx mori (domestic silkworm). RNAcentral describes it as "ovarian small RNA-14231". Lineage: Eukaryota; Metazoa; Arthropoda; Insecta; Lepidoptera; Bombycidae. The record is from RNAcentral.